GUAUAGGAGGUCCAGCCUGCCCAGUGACUACGGGUUCAACGGCCGCGGUAUUUUGACCGUGCAAAGGUAGCGCAAUCACUUGUCUCUUAAAUAGAGACCUGUAUGAAUGGCUAGACGAGGGCUUAACUGUCUCCCCCUUCCAGUCAGUGAAAUUGAUCUAUCCGUGCAGAAGCGGGUGUAAUUAUACAAGACGAGAAGACCCUUUGGAGCUUAAGGUAUAAAAUUCAGCCACGUUAAGUGACUCUACAAAAAGCAAGAACCUAGUGGCCAAUGAAGUUUUACCUUCGGUUGGGGCGACCACGGAGGAAAAAUAAGCCUCCGAGUGGACUGGGAUAAAUCCCAAAGCCAAUAGAUACAUCUAUAAGCCGCAGAACAUCUGACCAAAAAUGAUCCGACUGAAAAGCCGAUCAACGAACCAAGUUACCCUAGGGAUAACAGCGCAAUCCUCUCCCAGAGUCCAUAUCGACGAGGGGGUUUACGACCUCGAUGUUGGAUCAGGACAUCCUAAUGGUGCAGCCGCUAUUAAGGGUUCGUUUGUUCAACGAUUAAAGUCCUACGUGAUCUGAGUUCAGACCGG
This 577-nucleotide ribosomal RNA is filed under the name Cyprinus carpio (common carp). RNAcentral describes it as "partial 16S ribosomal RNA". It matches the Rfam family "Bacterial large subunit ribosomal RNA", at positions 1843 to 2619 of the family's 2925-position model. The record is from RNAcentral. Lineage: Eukaryota; Metazoa; Chordata; Actinopteri; Cypriniformes; Cyprinidae.